Molecule: ribosomal RNA, 324 nt
Filed under: uncultured Spirochaetota bacterium
Lineage: Bacteria; Pseudomonadati; Spirochaetota
Description: bacterial SSU rRNA
Rfam family: Bacterial small subunit ribosomal RNA
Source: RNAcentral
AACGAACGCUGGCGGCGCGUCUUAAGCAUGCAAGUCGAACGGCAAGGGCAGCAAUGCCCCUAGAGUGGCGGACUGGUGAGUAACACGUGGGUGACCUACCCUUAAGUUGGGGAUAACCAUUAGAAAUAGUGGAUAAUACCGAAUACGCUUGCGACACUUUGGUGAUGCAAGGAAAGGAGCUACGGCUCCGCUUAUGGAUGGGCCCGCGUCCCAUUAGCUAGUUGGUGAGGUAAAGGCCCACCAAGGCGACGAUGGGUAUCCGGCCUGAGAGGCGGAACAGCCACACUGGGACUGAGACACGGCCCAGACUCCUACGGGAGGCUG